AAAUUGAAGAGUUUGAUCAUGGCUCAGAUUGAACGCUGGCGGCAGGCCUAACACAUGCAAGUCGAGCGGUAGCACAGAGAGCUUGCUCUCGGGUGACGAGCGGCGGACGGGUGAGUAAUGUCUGGGAAACUGCCUGAUGGAGGGGGAUAACUACUGGAAACGGUAGCUAAUACCGCAUAACGUCGCAAGACCAAAGUGGGGGACCUUCGGGCCUCAUGCCAUCAGAUGUGCCCAGAUGGGAUUAGCUAGUAGGUGGGGUAACGGCUCACCUAGGCGACGAUCCCUAGCUGGUCUGAGAGGAUGACCAGCCACACUGGAACUGAGACACGGUCCAGACUCCUACGGGAGGCAGCA
This 354-nucleotide ribosomal RNA is filed under the name Pseudomonas aeruginosa. Its description in RNAcentral is "bacterial SSU rRNA". It matches the Rfam family "Bacterial small subunit ribosomal RNA", at positions 1 to 353 of the family's 1533-position model. The record is from RNAcentral. RNAcentral also lists the same sequence under 2 other names. Lineage: Bacteria; Pseudomonadati; Pseudomonadota; Gammaproteobacteria; Pseudomonadales; Pseudomonadaceae.